This 490-nucleotide ribosomal RNA is filed under the name uncultured bacterium. RNAcentral's name for it is "partial 16S ribosomal RNA". It matches the Rfam family "Bacterial small subunit ribosomal RNA", at positions 28 to 507 of the family's 1533-position model. The record is from RNAcentral.
GAUGAACGCUAGCGAUAGGCUUAACACAUGCCAGUCGAGGGGCAGCAUGGUCUUAGCUUGCUAAGACUGAUGGCGACCGGCGCACGGGUGCGUAACGCGUAUGCAACUUGCCUCACAGAGGGGGAUAACCCGUCGAAAGACGGACUAAUACCGCGUACACUUGGGAUAGGGCAUCCUGACCCAAGGAAAUGAAAUUCGCUGUGAGAUAGGCAUGCGUCCCAUUAGCUAGUUGGUGAGGUAACGGCUCACCAAGGCGACGAUGGGUAGGGGAACUGAGAGGUUGAACCCCCACACUGGUACUGGGACACGGACCAGGCUCCUACGGGAGGCAGCAGUGAGGAAUAGUGGUCAAUGGGCGAGAGCCUGAACCAGCCAAGUCGCGUGAAGGAUGACUGUCUUAUGGAUUGUAAACUUCUUUUAUACGGGAAUAACAAGAGUCACGUGUGGCUCCCUGCAUGUACCGUAUGAAUAAGCAUCGGCUAACUCCGUG